RNAcentral lists this ribosomal RNA (496 nucleotides) under uncultured bacterium. Its description in RNAcentral is "partial 16S ribosomal RNA". It matches the Rfam family "Bacterial small subunit ribosomal RNA", at positions 28 to 507 of the family's 1533-position model. The record is from RNAcentral.
GAUGAACGCUGGCGGCGUGCCUAAUACAUGCAAGUCGAGCGAACGGACGAGAAGCUUGCUUCUCUGAUGUUAGCGGCGGACGGGUGAGUAACACGUGGAUAACCUACCUAUAAGACUGGGAUAACUUCGGGAAACCGGAGCUAAUACCGGAUAAUAUUUUGAACCGCAUGGUUCAAAAGUGAAAGACGGUCUUGCUGUCACUUAUAGAUGGAUCCGCGCUGCAUUAGCUAGUUGGUAAGGUAACGGCUUACCAAGGCAACGAUGCAUAGCCGACCUGAGAGGGUGAUCGGCCACACUGAACUGAGACACGGUCCAGACUCCUACGGGAGGCAGCAGUAGGGAAUCUUCCGCAAAGGGCGAAAGCCUGACGGAGCAACGCCGCGUGAGUGAUGAAGGUCUUCGGAUCGUAAAACUCUGUUAUUAGGGAAGAACAUAUGUGUAAGUAACUGUGCACAUCUUGACGGUACCUAAUCAGAAAGCCACGGCUAACUACGUG